ACAGCCAUCAUCAGCCUGCCACUCGUUGAGUCCUGAUCCAUGGCCUAAACCUCAAAUUCCUGGGAGGAAUCAUUCCGGAACCAAGUUACUCUCCAAGCCUCAGUUUUCUUAUCUGUGCAAUGGGCUAGGAGCUGUUCUGAGUUGUCGUGAGGGCCAAUGGCCCAAAGUCUGAGACUGGCAGGGGCAGGCAUUCCACUAGUGCCCGUCCUGUUUAACACUGGCCCCUGGGCUGGGCACAGCAGCUCGCACCUAUCAUCCCAGUGCUUUGGGAAGCCAAGGUGGGAAGGUUGCUUGAGACCAGGAGUUCAGGACCAGCGUAGGCAACAGAGACUCCGUGUCUACAGAAAAACUUAAAAAAUUAGCUGGGUAUGGUGACGUGUGCCUGUAGCUCCAGCUACUCAGGAGGCUUGGGUUGGAGGCUUGCUUGAGCCCAGGAGUCUGAGGUUUAGAGUGAGCUAUGAUUGCACCGCCGCACUCCAGCCUGGGUGACAGUCAAAAUUAAAAAUCUGCUCCCAGAAAGGGGGUUCAGAGGGUGACCGCUUAUUCCCCGGGACUCAGCCUACAUUUUCUCUGCCAACCCAUGCCUUUACCUUCUGGGCUAGGGAAAGAAGACAGGCAGGUGACAAGGGAGAGACGGAUUAGCACAGCUCCUCCCCUUCACCCCUCACCCCACAUUUUUUAGUGACAGGAUUUUAAACGGUUGCUGUAGGCAAGAGAGCUGUCAGCCCAUUAUGGGCGAGGGUGGAGCUUAGAGAGCUCCUCACAUGAGCCCAGCCUGUGGCUUGGACAGAAAGCCCCAUUAAUCCUCCCUCUGUGCUGUGCAGUCUGGGUUGAGCAACUUGAUUUCUCUGAGCCUCAGUGAGGCACUCUGAAGGUAGGAGUUUCCUUGUUCCCGGGACCCUGGGCCUGACCUGGAGGACCGGAUCGCAGGGCCAGAGAGUCUGGUCUUGGGGAGGCAGCUGGCGUGGUGGCCAGGCCAUGGGUUUGCAACUGCACCUGGGUUCGAGCCCUGGUUCGGCUGUCCCUUGCUAGCUUUGCUGCAUUGGGCUGGUCGCUUUCGCCUUCCAAGCCUGGGUUUUCCCUUCAGAAACAUGGGGACCUGCCUCUUGGGGUUGUUGGAGUGUAGAGGAGGACAUGAACCGGAGGUCCUCCAAGUCGUUAGACUCUGAAGGCAGCUGGAACUGCCCGGGGAGGGCUGUGAAUGGAGAGCCCAGAAGAGGGUGCAGGGCGGGGCCUGCCCCUAGGGGGCGCUGGUGCCCGCGGGCAUCCAGGGAUGAGAGGUGGCCUUCGGGUGGUCCCUGCCACAGGUGUGGGGAGAGGAGGUCGGGGAGCAACCAGAGGGCUGGCAGAAGGGAGAGAACACUGGGACGUCAGGUCUGCGGACAGGAGGCCCAGAGGCCUCCCAGAUGCAGACAUGCAAAGAUAGGCAAUGACGCCGUGUGGGGUAUGCAAACAUCUCCACCAGCACGUCGCCACAUCAGGGACACGUGUCUCCAGGUGCAGAGACAUGCGGCCUCGCCAGGAGACACAGCCAUGCACGAUGGUCUGACACCUGCAGACCCCCAGCUUCAUGCAGGACAUAUCCAGGCAAACCGGCCCACAGAGCUAUUCCAUAGACACACACACGUCCACACAUGCACACACACCCUGAGAGUUUCAAGGAAUGCACCUUGGAAACCAAAUUCCCUCGAGUCUCUGCCAUCACCACCAUACUCCCCAUCCCUGCCACCAUCUCUAGAGACCCCACAGCCACAUCCCAUCCCAAGUCCUCACGAUUCCUCAGGGUUUGGCUUCAGCUUCUUCCUCCUCCCAUGCCGUCCUCCUCUGGGGAACUCAUCCAUCCCGUGCCUCAGUGGCCAGCCACCUGGUUGAAGACCCGGGUGCUCAGCAUCCCGUCUGGUCACUCUGAGGCCCAGCCCUGGCCCAGGACGUCUCCACUUGGAUGCCUGGGAGACCCUAAGCUCACACGCCCAGACCACACAUGUCCCCACUCCCUGUGCCUCCUGUGCCCCCGUCUCGGUGAUCCAGGGACCUAGAUGCUGCCUGGACUCCCCCCUCACCAAUAUCUCCGGGAUCUGCCCUGGAGACUGCCACCCUAGUCAAAGCCAUCGUCACCUCUCACCUGGUGACCCAACUGACUUCCCUGCUUCCAUCCAGUCACCUUGAUCUAAUCGGAUCUAUUCUCUACUUGGCAGCAAGGCCCUGAACGGUCUGGCCCUGCCCUCAAACUUUGCUGUUCUUGCAGUUUAGGAGAUUCACAAGAUUUUGCCUGCCCCUGAGGUUUUGGACAAGUCUGGAAUGCUCUCAGACACCCCUUCUCACUCUCAGUCCUCCUGAUGCCAGGUAACUUCAGAUCACAGCUUAAUAUGUAGCUUCUUCCAGGAAGCCUUCCAUGAUGCUCCACCCUCCAGACGAGGUUGGGUACCCGGGCAACAGGGUUUCUUUGUACCUCAACUGAGCUUGUAUCACACUGCGAUCUCCUUGAAGCAGGGAUAGCCAAUCCCCAGUUCUCAGCCUGGUGGCUGGCACUUAAGGGGCCUUCGCAAAUACUGGUUGAUUGAAUGAAUGAAAGUGUUGGAGAAUGGGAUAGAGUGAAAUGGAGAUGGGGUGAAUGCAUUUCUUUUAAGGUUGGAGAUGGCUCAGGGUUGGGAUGAGACAAAGGUGGAAGAGAAGAGAAUCACAGGAGGGUUGGGCAAGAAUAGGG
Molecule: long non-coding RNA, 2704 nt
Organism: Homo sapiens (human)
Lineage: Eukaryota; Metazoa; Chordata; Mammalia; Primates; Hominidae
Source: Ensembl